RNAcentral lists this ribosomal RNA (116 nucleotides) under Pteropus alecto (black flying fox). The record is from RNAcentral. Lineage: Eukaryota; Metazoa; Chordata; Mammalia; Chiroptera; Pteropodidae.
GACUAUGGCCAUGCCACCCUGAACAAGCCCGAUGUCUGAUCUUGGAAGCUAAGCAGGUUAGGGCUUGGUUAGUACUUGCAUGGGAGACCACUUAGGAAGACCAGGUGCUGUAGGCA